Long non-coding RNA from Capra hircus (goat), 924 nucleotides. RefSeq lists it as uncharacterized. The transcript has 5 exons. NCBI's taxonomy places the organism in Eukaryota, Metazoa, Chordata, Mammalia, Artiodactyla, Bovidae. The record is from RefSeq and is a predicted model, not a curated record.
CCUGGUGCUGAGUCAUCUUAACCACAGGACGUAGAUGUUGCGUGGAAUCCCUCCAUGCCCUGGCGGAUCUGCUGGUGCAAGGGACACUGUGAGCCUCGGUGGAGUGUGAAGGUGGAGGCAUCUAAAGCCCUGUAUUUCUUGCUAGUGGACAAAGUGACUGGACCAUUGUGCAAUUUUUGGACUACUGGUUCUGGGAGCUCCUGAGUCAACCCUGCUUUACAACAGAGUUUCGGUUCUGAGUUUCAUCAUCGUCUCUGGCUUCAUUAAGGGAGACCUGCGCAACUGGAAGCUCACGGAACAGGACUACACAUUGGACACGUCUGUAUCCAGUGGCACCUCUAGGGGAAGAAGCCCUCAAUCCUCAGCGGUCCAUCCCCGUGAGCACCAUGAUCACGAUCUUCAUCUGCUUUGUGGUGUGCUUUGGUGUCUCAGCAGCACUCACCCUCACAGUGCCCUACUGCCAGAUCCGUCCUGAGAGCCCCUGGCCAGAGGCUUUCCUCCUUGUUGGGUGGGGCCCUGCCAGAUAUGUCGUGGCUGUUGGCGCCCUCUGUGCUCUUACGUCCAGUCUCCUAGGUGAUGUGUUCCCCAUGCCUCGGGGGAUGUACGUGAUGGCAGAGGAUGGAAUCCUUUUUCAGGGACUUUCCAGAUCCACGACUGCACCCGAAUACCCAUCAUGGCCAUCAUGUCUUCUGGCAUCUUUGCAGGUGAGACUCCACUACACCUUGGCUGGGGGUCAUGAACUCAAGAGGAGCUAAGAUUCUUCUAGCUUCGUGUCCUGCAUCUGCUGAAGUUGGCAAAGAGUUGGAUUAACUGUCUGAUAUUGGAUAAGUAUAGGGGCUGCUGUCAAUCCUGCCUUAAUAUCCUUUCACUCGGGUACCAGCCAGAUCAGAAUUGCAGCAAGAAGGAGAGAACAGAGUAGGAAAU